RNAcentral lists this ribosomal RNA (253 nucleotides) under uncultured bacterium. RNAcentral describes it as "partial 16S ribosomal RNA". It matches the Rfam family "Bacterial small subunit ribosomal RNA", at positions 524 to 776 of the family's 1533-position model. The record is from RNAcentral.
GACGGAGGGGGCUAGCGUUAUUCGGAAUUACUGGGCGUAAAGAGUGCGUAGGCGGUUUAGUAAGUUGGACGUGAAAGCCCGAGGCUUAACCUCGGAACUGCUUUCAAAACUACUAAUCUAGAGUGUAGUAGGGGAUGAUGGAAUUCCUAGUGUAGAGGUGAAAUUCUUAGAUAUUAGGAGGAACACCGGUGGCGAAGGCGGUCAUCUGGGCUACAACUGACGCUGAUGCACGAAAGCGUGGGGAGCAAACAGG